RNAcentral lists this long non-coding RNA (342 nucleotides) under Dermacentor andersoni. RNAcentral describes it as "uncharacterized LOC126546085". The record is from RNAcentral. Lineage: Eukaryota; Metazoa; Arthropoda; Arachnida; Ixodida; Ixodidae.
ACAGCUCGAAUGGUGGAUCGGGGAUUUGAAGGACGUCCUCUUCAACUUUACGAAGCGGCUUACAUGGCAAGACGAAGAGACUGUCGAAAAACUGUUAGCCAAGGUUGAAAAGAUGCACAUCUCCUUCGUCAUUCCUGGCUCGCUGCUGCAUGAGCCCAACGUCUUCAAGUGGACAUGCGAGAGCUACGACGUCAAGUUUGCCGCGCUGCCACCCAUAUUGCACUUCGUCGAAGCCAAGGCAACCGUUCUUCGAAGCCACUGGAACCAUGUGCACACGGGCAUCUCUCUGUGUACCAGCAUCGUAUUUUGGCGAGGUUCUCAAAGCUCCACCAGUUCUGAGGC